This is a long non-coding RNA of Marmota monax (woodchuck), 2658 nucleotides long. RefSeq lists it as uncharacterized. The record is from RefSeq and is a predicted model, not a curated record. NCBI's taxonomy places the organism in Eukaryota, Metazoa, Chordata, Mammalia, Rodentia, Sciuridae. The transcript has 2 exons.
UAUAUUCCCAGACCCCUAGACCUGUUUUUAAAAUAAAUAGGGAGGGCUGGGGAUGUGGCUCAAGCAGUAGUGCGCUCGCCUGGCAUGCGUGGGGCCCGGGUUCGAUCCUCAGCACCACAUACAAAGAAAGAUGUUGUGUCCGCCGAAAACUAAAAAAUAAAUAUUAAAAAAAUUAUUUCUCUCUCUCUCUUAAAAAAAAAUAGGGAAGGAGGCAGGGAGGUUAUUUUCCCAACUGUUAUGAAAGCAACAUUCAUUUAAGAACAUGAGGAGGGCUGGGGGUAUAGGUCAAUGGUAGAGCACUUGCCUAGCAAGAGUUGAGGCCCUGGGUUCAAUUCUCAGCACUAGGGGGAAAAAAAUGGGAAAAAUUGAAAAAAAGUGUAACCAAUUGUAUCAUUGCCCACAUAAAUUGAAUCAUUGCCAUCAAUCAUCUUGGUGUGUUUCCUAGACAUAGAUUAUUUUGUUUUGUUCCUUUUAUAGUUGUAAUCAACUGGUGACACUGAACUGAUUAUAACAAUAACAAAGCAGCUUGAGAAAGCAAAGGGAAAAUACGCCCAGUGCAGGCAAGGGUGUGGAAAACACUUUCACACAGUGUUGGUGGAACUAUGCAUUGGUAGAGUCUUUCUGGAGGCAGUUUGACAGUAUCAGAGUCAUACAUAUGCAUGACCUUUACCCCAGGAUUCUCCUUGGAAUUGUCCUGCAGAAAUAAAUGUUCAAGUGCACAAAGUUAAGUAGAUGAGGAUGUUUGAUGCAUUUUUCCCCAGUAAUAGGGAUUGAACCCAGGGACACUACCACUGAGUUAUAUCCCUAGUCCUUUACAUUAUUAUUAUUAUUAUUAUUAUUAUUUUAAAUUUUGAGACAAUCUCACUAAGUUACAGAGGUAGGCCUUGAACUAGCAGUCCCCCUACCUCAGCCUCCUGAGUUGAGUUUCUGGGAUUACAAUGUCAAUGUCCUUGGCAAUGCAUUAGUUCUCUUUAAAUAAGGAAAACCUGGGGAAACCCACAUACUUAUUGCUAUAAGUAAAAUAAAUUCCAGUCUGUCCCUAGAUGAUAUGGGAAAUGCACCACAGCACAUUGUUAAGAGAGGGCACAGCACAUUGCAGAGCACGUGGAAUCCCAUUUGGGUAUUAAAAGCAAACACAGAAAAUGUUUCUGCCUUGAAAGAAAGGCACUGAAAUGUUAGCAGUGGUGAGUGUGAAGAGGGAACUGGUGAGUUGGUUAGGUGGGGACACUGCAGAAUCACCAGGGGCAGAUGGGACAGUGUCUGAGAUUCAGCCAGUGCAGUGAGAUCACUGGGUUCCAAACCCAGAACUACCGCUGACCUUUACACUCAGCAGCUUCUGAACCCCAGCUUUCUCACAAGGAAGAUGGGAAUGAAUGGCAGUUGCUUCUGUCUCCCAGGGCUGCCUGCAGUGGGAGCCAAGUAUCUCACUCAAUAAGUGCUUAGCAUAUGAAUGUAGUUAAUCAAUAUUAGCUAACUCAGAGAUUCCUGAGCUCACAUUUCAGCUGAGCCACCAAUUGGGCAAAUUUCUUAACUUCUUUGAGCCUCGGUUUUUCUGUGAAAAAUGUUGAUUUAUAGAAAGACACAGGGGCGCAGGCCUAUGAUCUUAGCUACUGAGCCUGAGGUAGGAGGAUUGAAAGUUUGAGGGCAGCCUCAGCAACUCAGCGAGACCCUGACUCAAAGAAGAAAGGGCUUGGCAUGUAGCUCAGUGGUAGAGUGCCCCUGAGUUGCAACCUCAGUACUGGGGCAGGGCAGGGGGAGGUCAAUUAUAGCAUCAACCCUAUAGGGGGGUUUUUUGUUUGUUUUUUUGUGAUGCUGGGGAUUGAACCCAGGGCCUUGUGCAUGAAAGGCAAACACUCUACCAACCAAACUAUAUCCCCAGCCCAAGCCCUAUAUGGUUUUAAGGACAUGGGAUUAUAGGAUGUCAGUAUCUCCCUGAAGAAAUUGUCCCAUGUCCUAAGACAAAGCUGGUCAUUCCAGUCUCUGGAUUUUAUUCCCAGGAAUGUAGAUCCCAUUAAAUCCCCAGUCCUGGAGGGACAGGCUUUGUGCCUCUAGUUGAGCCAGCCCCAGUGUGGGAGGCAGGGGAGCCAUGGGGGUGUGGCCACAGUUGCUGCCCAGCUCCAGCCAAGGGUUGGCCAUUGUAGACUGGGCCAAGAGCUGCCAGAAAUGACUAUUUUUCAAGAGAAGUUGUGAAAUCAAUCUCCUGAUUUAACACUCUUAGCAAUCAGUUCAUUUGGUGAACGCUGUGAAAGCAAAUAAAAUAUGCCAGCAGACCACAUUCAACCCAGGCUGUGGGAUUGCUCCCUGUUCUACACCCGUUCUGCACUUGAUUUAGCAAAAUAUUUACCAAGAUCCUACUGUACCUGUCACUCCUCCAGCACCUGACCAUGCUUCUUGUUCUGCAACCUCAGGUCUGCUGGCAUAGUGCUCCUGUCAGUCGGUCAAUCAAUCUGAACUGGAAUGUGGAAGAAUGCCUGGGCUUCUCUGCUUUGGGGGAAAGGUCAGCCCAUAUGCAUUGUCAAUUUGCUCCUGGGGAUCUGAUUAGAAUCUAAUGUAAUCUGACCUAAUCCAGUAAGAUUUAAUUGAUGCUGAUGUUUUGUUAGUUUCAACUGUUUAGUUUUUCUUUUUAAUAGUUAUAAUAAAAUUACUUUUACCAAGUAA